CANANACAACUCUCAGCAACGGAUAUCUUGGCUCUUGCAACGAUGAAGAACGCAGCGAAAUGCGAUA
Molecule: ribosomal RNA, 67 nt
Filed under: Neckera pennata
Lineage: Eukaryota; Viridiplantae; Streptophyta; Bryopsida; Hypnales; Neckeraceae
Description: partial 5.8S ribosomal RNA
Rfam family: 5.8S ribosomal RNA (bases 8-67)
About the family: 5.8S ribosomal RNA (5.8S rRNA) is a component of the large subunit of the eukaryotic ribosome.
Source: RNAcentral